UACCUGGUUGAUCCUGCCAGUAGUCAUAUGCUUGUCUCAAAGAUUAAGCCAUGCAUGUCUCAGCAUAAGUAUUUACACAGCGAAGCUGCGAAUGGCUCAUUAAAACAGUUUUAGUUUAUUCGAUGGUCAAAGGUUAUUUGGAUAACUGCGGAAAUUCUGGAGCUAAUACAUGCUUAAAGACGCGACUUUUUGGGAGCGUUGUAUUUAUUAGGUACAAAACCAGUCCCUUCUGGGUUUUUUGACGAGUCAUAAUAAACGUACGUAGCGCAUAACUUGUGUUGGCGCAAAAUCGUUCAAGAUUCUGACCUAUCAGCUUUGGAUGGUAGGGUAUUGGCCUACCAUUGCAGUGACGGGUAACGGAGAAUUAGGGUUCGAUUCCGGAGAGGGAGCCCGAGAAACGGCUACCACAUCUAAGGAAGGCAGCAGGCGCGCAAAUUACCCAAUCCUGAUACAGGGAGGUAGUGACAAGAAAUAACAAAGUAAGCCAUAUUUGUGGUUGUACUAUUGGAAUGAGUAGAAUUUAAAAUGCUUUACGACUAACAAUUGGAGGGCAAGUCUGGUGCCAGCAGCCGCGGUAAAUUCCAGCUCCAGUAGCGUAUAUUAAAGUUGUUGCGGUUAAAAAGCUCGUAGUUGGAUUUCUGCGCGGGACGGGUGGGUCCCCUUCUUAAGGGUGAAUCUUCUUCGGCCUGUGCAUCUACCUGAAAAACGGAUUUGUGCUUGAUUGCAUGAUUCGUGUUUUAGGUCAUUUACUUUGAGGAAAUUAGAGUGUUUAUAGCAUGCAAUUGCAUUGAAUAUAUUAGCAUGGGAUAAUAAUAUAAGACUGAGUUUUUAUUUUGUUGGUUUCUAAGAAUUCAGUAAUGAUAAAUAGGGGUUGUCGGGGGUACUAGUAUUAACGCGUCAGAGGUGGAAUUCUUGGAUUGCGUUACGACUAACUACUGCGAAAGCAUUUACCAAGGAUGUUUUCAUUGAUCAAGAACGAAAGUUUGGGGAUCGAAAAUGAUUAGAUACCGUCGUAGUCCAAACCAUAAACUAUGCCAACUAAAAAUCGGGCUGUGAUAUUUUACGUCUAGCUCGGGCGAUUUAUGAGAAAUCAAAGUCUUUGGGUUCCGGGGGGAGUAUGGUCGCAAGGCUGAAACUUAAAGGAAUUGACGGAAGGGCACCACCAGGAGUGGAGCCUGCGGCUUAAUUUGACUCAACACGGGAAAACUCACCAGGUCCAGACAUAGUAAGGAUUGACAGAUUGAUAGAUCUUUCUUGAUUUCAAAGGGUGGUGGUGCAAGGCCGUUCUUAGUUGGUGGAGUGAUUUGUCUGCUUAAUUGCGUUAACGAACGAGACCUUCACAUGCUAAAUAGUUGAACGAAUCUUCGGAUUUGUGUCAAUCUUCUUAGAUGGACUAUCGCCUUUUAAGGCGGUGGAAGCCGGAGGCAAUAACAGGUCUGUGAUGCCCUUAGAUGUUCUGGGCUGCACGCGCGCUACACUGGCAAUUUCAACGAGCAUUUCUAACUUGCGCGGUAGCGUCGGUUAAUCUUUUGAAAUAUUGCCGUGCUGGGGAUAGAAAAUUGUAAUUAUUUUUCUUCAACGAGGAAUUCCUAGUAAGCUCGAGUCAUCAGCUCGAACUGAUUACGUCCCUGCCCUUUGUACACACCGCCCGUCGCUCCUACCGAUUGAAUGGUUCGGUGAGCAGUUUGGAUUCUAGUCGUUGUAGGUUCGCCUACGCUGACCAGAAGAAAUUCCGCAAACCUCAUCAUUUAGAGGAAGGAGAAGUCGUAACAAGGUUUCCGUAGGUGAACCUGCAGAAGGAUC
RNAcentral lists this ribosomal RNA (1803 nucleotides) under uncultured eukaryote. RNAcentral describes it as "SSU rRNA". It matches the Rfam family "Eukaryotic small subunit ribosomal RNA". The record is from RNAcentral.